AUAAAAUGACUCUCGGCAACGGAUAUCUCGGCUCUUGCAUCGAUGAAGAACGUAGCGAAAUGCGAUACUUGGUGUGAAUUGCAGAAUCCCGUGAACCAUCGAGUUUUUGAACGCAAGUUGCGCCUAAAGCCAUUAGGCUGAGGGCACGCCUGCCUGGGUGUCACAA
Molecule: ribosomal RNA, 166 nt
Filed under: Cajanus scarabaeoides
Lineage: Eukaryota; Viridiplantae; Streptophyta; Magnoliopsida; Fabales; Fabaceae
Description: 5.8S ribosomal RNA
Rfam family: 5.8S ribosomal RNA
About the family: 5.8S ribosomal RNA (5.8S rRNA) is a component of the large subunit of the eukaryotic ribosome. It is transcribed by RNA polymerase I as part of the 45S precursor that also contains 18S and 28S rRNA.
Source: RNAcentral